ACAUGCCUACAUCAUAUCGUUAAUGCACUAGAUCCCAUUAGAACUUCACAGUUAAGCACGCCCAGGCUAGAGUAGUACUGGGAUGAGUGACCUCCUGAGAAGUCCUAGUGUUUUACAUGCU
Non-coding RNA from Picea glauca (white spruce), 121 nucleotides. The record is from Rfam. Lineage: Eukaryota; Viridiplantae; Streptophyta; Pinopsida; Pinales; Pinaceae.